Molecule: ribosomal RNA, 253 nt
Filed under: uncultured bacterium
Lineage: Bacteria
Description: partial 16S ribosomal RNA
Rfam family: Bacterial small subunit ribosomal RNA
Source: RNAcentral
UACGAAGGGUGCAAACGUUGCUCGGAAUCAUUGGGCGUAAAGCGCACGUAGGCGGCUUCGCAAGUCGGAUGUGAAAUCCCUCGGCUCAACCGAGGACGUGCAUACGAAACUGCGGAGCUUGAGUGCUGAAGAGGAUCGCGGAAUUCCCGGUGUAGAGGUGAAAUUCGUAGAUAUCGGGAGGAACACCAGUGGCGAAGGCGGCGAUCUGGGCAGACACUGACGCUGAGGUGCGAAAGCGUGGGGAGCAAACGGG